Molecule: RNA transcript, 3407 nt
Organism: Danio aesculapii
Lineage: Eukaryota; Metazoa; Chordata; Actinopteri; Cypriniformes; Danionidae
Gene: vegfab
Gene name: vascular endothelial growth factor Ab
Exons: 7
Source: RefSeq, a predicted model, not a curated record
CAUUUCUGUGACUCGUCCAAUGGAGUUUUUUUAAACCGUGUGCGCUGCAAGAACAGACCGACAGCUGAAGCAGUUCGUUAAAAACGGGGAACGGCGGCGUCUGAUCAUUCAUAAGGACAAGAGAGAGAGAAAUCCAGAAGACAAAUCUGAACAGGAAGCGGAAUUAAAGCAGUGCUCAUCCGAAUGGACUAAAAGUACGCAUGGAUAUCGCUUUCUCUCUUCAGCGCCUUUGUGUUCACUGAUAUCACUGUAUACUCCGCUAAUAACACAGUGUCGGCAAUACUCAAAGUUGUAACAGAGAGUGCGUUUUUUCCCAUACUGCGUCCCUUUUACCAAUGAACCCAACGCACUUGGAGACGGGUGGCAGUCUAAGCAUGGGAUUACUUCUGUGAUGUGGAUUGUAAUAGCCUUGGAAGAAAAAAUUGAUUUACUUCUCAACAAUGUGAGAGGACCCGCGUCCUGGAUUCUCAUAUUCCUGGAUAUUCUGAAAAUCAUCGGCAACAGCUGAGAGACGCUGUAAUAUACUAGCUGUGGAUCUCAGUCUCGCUCUCUCAGGUGUCUGCAUGCGUGUUUUGGGACCAACAUGGGAUUCUUGUUGCCCCUAUAGGUCGGACCCCGUGUGAAGAAGCCGCUACUCAUGUCUAACUUGCUUUCUGAGACCUUUACCAAUGUUUUUGCUAAAGUCCGCCUAUCAUCGGAUAGGGUUUUAAAAAGAUUUAUUCGCCUUUUAAAUUCAAUCAUGAACUUUGCUGUUCGCGUGCUCCAGUUAUUUAUUGUGACGCUUCUGUAUUUUUCAGCUGUCAAGAGUGCCUACAUACCCAGAGAGGGAGGCAGAAGCACAUAUGACGUGGUGCCAUUCAUGGAGGUGUAUAACAAGUCUCUCUGCCGUCCUCGGGAAAUGUUGGUGGAAAUUCAGCAGGAGUACCCUGAUGACACAGAGCAUAUCUUCAUACCAUCCUGUGUGGUUCUCACCCGCUGUGCUGGGUGCUGCAAUGAUGAAAUGAUGGAAUGCACCCCCACCGUCACAUACAACAUUACCUUGGAGAUUAAGAGAUUGAAACCUCUUCGUCAUCAGGGUGACAUUUUCAUGAGUUUUGCCGAACACAGUGAAUGCCAGUGUCGGAUGAAAAAAGAUCUUCCAAAGGAAAUAGAAAAAAAACCCCGGAAGGGCAAAGGCCAAAAGCGAAAGGGAAAGAAAAACCGUGAAAAAAAGCGGGAUUUGUAUGUCACCUCUGCGUUCGCCUCCUCUCACCUGCACCUGAGUGUGGCACUCUUGGUUGUCAAAUUAAUUUGGGAGGAGAUUUUAUGCCUCCUUUAAUCAGCGCAUUUUUUUUGUCAGAUGUUUUAAUUGCCAUUAAUCCAUCAGUUCUUGCGCCACUUAAUUAAAACUUACCAUCCCAUUGAUCUCUGAUCUCACAGAGCUUGAUUCGCUAUUGCUGAAGCACAUGCUAAAACCAUUAACAGUAACACUUUUUGCCUAAAUGGUUUUUUUUUGGUGGGCACAAACCAAUAGAGUGCAACAGUGACUGUCCACUUUGUUAGUCUGUAUUAUUUUCUCAUUCAUUUUCUGUUUGUGGUAAGGAGUUCAAUGAGUUCCAAGAUGAAUCAUAAGACCUACAACUCGAAUACGUUCGCAAAAAAGAAGUCUUUUAAAGACUUAAAUAUUUAUCCCAUGCAGUGUUGUGAGUGAUGUUCUCCAAACAAGAGGCAAAAGUCGGACAAGUUGGUAAUUACAGAACGUGUAUAAAAAGAUAGAUGCACACGGCACAUCUUGACAAGAUGUUUAUUGCAAAAUAAUAAACUAGUAUGGAAACUACGCAGUGGUUUAUAGGAAUACGCAAUCAGUGGCCAAUGAAACAACCUUGUAAAUGUGUAUUGUUCCCAUUUCCAAGGCUGGUUCCCAGGUUCUUUCUUCGUAGUACCUUGUUUAAGCAAGCGCAGCACUUCAUGGGAAUUUAGAAAUGAAAAAAGUGAAAGCACCAACUACAAAAGCAUCAUCACUUAACUUCACCUGAACCCACGGCGUACUGUAGGUCUGUCUGCAUGUCACUGGAGAAAAUUAAUGGGUUUUCUAUUUUUGGAGCCGUACAGUUGCACUCUAUAUGUUGUGUCACAGGGCCCAAUAAAUCAAGCUCUAAGAUGGGAGGAGGUGGGCAGUGGGAAUCUAGUCAUCAUAAAGACUCACACAACCCACACAGCAUGGCUUUUAUUUGAUGGUACUAAUCACAGUAUUUGUGUUGGAAUCACAACCUCGUUUGUGCUGGUUUUGUUUUUGGAAUGUCGUUUGUUCUGAUAAUUCUUUUAUUGUGUUAGGAUUCACCAUCGUCCUCACAUUGGUUCUGUUCUCUGACAUAUGAGAGGGUCUGUGUGAGGUUUUAAUCAUUUUGUUUUGUUCAUUGCUUUGAGUUUGGUCUUGUCAUGCUGAGUGAGUUCUGCCACACAGCAUUACGAAAGUCAAACAGCCUGUUCACUUUGGUGCUUCUCCCAGUAAUUGGGAAAUGAAAUGUGUUUCAAUGAGAAUGAAAAUGCGCACACGAGGACAGUCUGCUCCUGUGAGACUGAUGCUUUUGAGGUCAGUAUUUUUCUGAGGGCUGGACUUGGGGUUUUAUUAAAUUAAGUGCUUCAAAGUACCACCACAAUUAUUCACACAACAUAUUUGACAUUGCUUGAAAUGAUUUAGGUUUCAAAUUUGGGUGUAAAAUCAAAGUCAGAGCGGUCACUGAUUUCUAAGAAUAUUGGACUUAAGACAUUUCAAAAUUUCAACAUAAUCCUUCUCUCAAUAUUCCUGCCAUUUCUCCUGUAAAUAAAAUGUGUUAAAACAAUAUUUGCUUGAUUUUGUUCAGAAUUUUUUCUAAAGCACAAAAAUUGGUCAAAUAAAUUUGUGUGCAUGUUUUUUUUAUGUAAAACAUUCAUACUUGUAAUAUAAAGCCAGGGUUAGAUUUAGAAUUUAGUCUGAGCCUAGUGCCUCAGAGCAAUAUUGACUUCAGAUAAGGUCAUUUGGCACAAAUAUGUGUGAAUCUUCCUCAUGGAGUCCAGUAGUUUGUACUGUACAUAUGUCCUGAUGACCCUGAUCCAACUCGACAAGACGCAAUAAACAGAACCUCUGGAUUCUCACUCACUGCGCUCUCUCUGGCUUUUAUUCCUAUAUGCUUUUCUAAAAUGAAACCAUUUAUUAUUGUUUUCAUUAUUUUCUUGCAUCAACUGAGCUUGCAGGUGCAUGGCCCCAUCCUGCCUAACUUCAGCUAUUCACACUCUACAACCCCCUUUGGACCCUCAGAAGGGGCAAAACCGUGGUUCCAGACCAGGGUGGCUCAAAAAUUAGUCAGUGUGAGCCUUGCUGUUCUACUUGUUCUGAAAGAAGAAGAAGGUUGUUUGUUCAAGACCCAGAGACAUGUCAGUGCUCCUGC